RNAcentral lists this ribosomal RNA (808 nucleotides) under uncultured archaeon. RNAcentral's name for it is "bacterial SSU rRNA". It matches the Rfam family "Archaeal small subunit ribosomal RNA", at positions 1 to 813 of the family's 1478-position model. The record is from RNAcentral.
UUCCGGUUUGAUCCGGCCGGCAGGUCACUGCUAUUGUGAUUCGACUAAGCCAUGCGAGUCGAGAGGGUUCGGCCCUCGGCUGACGGCUCAGUAACACGUGGAUAAUCUGCCCUUAGGUGGAGGAUAACCUCGGGAAACUGAGAAUAAUACUCCAUAGAUCUAGGAUGCUGGAAUGCACUUAGAUUGAAAGUUCCGACGCCUAAGGAUGAGUCUGCGGACUAUCAGGUAGUAGUCAGGGUAAAGGCCUGACUAGCCUACGACGGAUACGGGUUGUGAGAGCAAUAACCCGGAGACGAUAUCUGAGACACGAUAUCGGGCCCUACGGGGCGCAGCAGGCGCGAAACCUUCACAAUGUGCGAAAGCACGAUGAGGGGAUCCCAAGUGCUUGCUCGUAAGAGUAAGCUGUUUUUAUGUCUAGAAAGCAUAGAGAGUAAGGGCUGGGUAAGACGGGUGCCAGCCGCCGCGGUAAUACCUGCAGCGCAAGUGGUGACCGCUAUUAUUGGGCCUAAAACGUUCGUAGCCGGUUUGGUAAAUGCCUGGGUAAAUCGUGUAGCUUAACUAUACGAAUUCCGGAUAGACUGCCAAACUUGAGACCGGGAGAAGCUAGAGGUACUCCUGGGGUAGAGGUGAAAUUCUGUAAUCCUGGGGGGACCACCAGUGGCGAAGGCGUCUAGCUAGAACGGGUCUGACGGUGAGGAACGAAGCCCUGGGGCGCAAACCGGAUUAGAUACCCGGGUAGUCCAGGGUGUAAACGCUGCUUGCUUGAUGUUAGUUGGGCUCCGAGCCCAACUAGUGUCGGAGAGAAGUU